ACGGAGGGUGCGAGCGUUGUCCGGAAUCACUGGGCGUAAAGGGCGCGUAGGCGGCCGAGCAAGGUCGCGGUGAAAGCCCGGGGCUCAACCCCGGGUCGGCCGUGGCAACUACUUGGCUGGAGCACUGUAGGGGCGGGUGGAAUUCCGGGUGUAGCGGUGGAAUGCGUAGAGAUCCGGAAGAACACCGGUGGCGAAGGCGGCCCGCUGGGCAGGAAGACGGGCGCAAGUCCGUUGGCUGACGCUGAGGCGCGACAGCGUGGGGAGCAAACAGGA
RNAcentral lists this ribosomal RNA (273 nucleotides) under uncultured prokaryote. Its description in RNAcentral is "partial 16S ribosomal RNA". It matches the Rfam family "Bacterial small subunit ribosomal RNA", at positions 525 to 777 of the family's 1533-position model. The record is from RNAcentral.